GUAGGUGAACCUGCGGAAGGAUCAUUAUUGAAAUAAACCUGAUAGGUUGUUGCUGGUUCUCUAGGGAGCAUGUGCACACCUUGUCAUCUUUAUAUCUCCACCUGUGCACCUUUUGUAGACCCUUCCAGGUCUAUGUUGCUUCACUUACACCAAUGUAUGUUAAUAGAAUGUUGUGCCUAUAAAAUAUAUACAACUUUCAGCAACGGAUCUCUUGGCUCUC
RNAcentral lists this unclassified non-coding RNA (220 nucleotides) under rhizosphere metagenome. RNAcentral's name for it is "partial ribosomal RNA internal transcribed spacer region". The record is from RNAcentral.